Molecule: transfer RNA, 75 nt
Filed under: Anaeromyxobacter sp.
Lineage: Bacteria; Pseudomonadati; Myxococcota; Myxococcia; Myxococcales; Anaeromyxobacteraceae
Also listed under: 4 other names
Description: tRNA-Cys
Rfam family: tRNA
About the family: Transfer RNA (tRNA) molecules are approximately 80 nucleotides in length.
Source: RNAcentral
GGCACCGUCGCCAAGUGGUAAGGCCCGGGUCUGCAAAACCCGUAUUCGGCGGUUCGAAUCCGCCCGGUGCCUCCA